Molecule: ribosomal RNA, 490 nt
Filed under: uncultured bacterium
Lineage: Bacteria
Description: bacterial SSU rRNA
Rfam family: Bacterial small subunit ribosomal RNA
Source: RNAcentral
UGGCUCAGAUUGAACGCUGGCGGCAUGCCUUACACAUGCAAGUCGAACGGCAGCGGACCUUCGGGUGCCGGCGAGUGGCGAACGGGUGAGUAAUAUAUCGGAACGUACCUUCAGGUGGGGGAUAACGUAGCGAAAGUUACGCUAAUACCGCAUAUUCUGUGAGCAGGAAAGCAGGGGAUCGCAAGACCUUGCGCUGAUUGAGCGACCGAUAUCAGAUUAGCUAGUUGGUGAGGUAAAGGCUCACCAAGGCGACGAUCUGUAGCGGGUCUGAGAGGAUGAUCCGCCACACUGGAACUGAGACACGGUCCAGACUCCUACGGGAGGCAGCAGUGGGGAAUUUUGGACAAUGGGCGCAAGCCUGAUCCAGCCAUGCCGCGUGAGUGAAGAAGGCCUUCGGGUUGUAAAGCUCUUUCGGCCGGGAAGAAAUCGCACAGGUUAAUACCCUGUGUGGAUGACGGUACCGGAAUAAGAAGCACCGGCUAACUACGUG